RNAcentral lists this ribosomal RNA (253 nucleotides) under uncultured bacterium. RNAcentral describes it as "partial 16S ribosomal RNA". It matches the Rfam family "Bacterial small subunit ribosomal RNA", at positions 524 to 776 of the family's 1533-position model. The record is from RNAcentral.
UACGUAGGGGGCAAGCGUUGUCCGGAUUUAUUGGGCGUAAAGAGCGUGUAGGCGGCCAGGUAGGUCUGCUGUGAAAACUCGAGGCUUAACCUCGAGCUGUCGGCGGAAACCAUCUGGCUAGAGUCCGGAAGAGGAGAAUGGAAUUCCCGGUGUAGUGGUGAAAUGCGUAGAGAUCCGGAGGAACACCGAAGGCGAAGGCAGUGUCCUGGCUGGUGACUGACGCUGAGGUGCGAAAGCUAGGGGAGCGAACGGG